This 581-nucleotide unclassified non-coding RNA is filed under the name Siphanthera cordifolia. RNAcentral's name for it is "partial external transcribed spacer". Lineage: Eukaryota; Viridiplantae; Streptophyta; Magnoliopsida; Myrtales; Melastomataceae. The record is from RNAcentral.
CAGGCUUGAUCGGGUAACACGCCGAUCCUCUGUGCGGCUCCUCCUAGGAGAGGAGUCGGCGGAUUGGGUCCGUGUUUCCCGUCUCGCGAUGGGACGACGCGUGAGUGGCUCCACGGACGUGAUCCCCGAGCAGGCUCCAUGCUCCUCGCAUCGAACUGCCUCGGCCCGUUCGUUUCACUUGUGGGUUCGCCUCGGCCAUUGUCAGGGUCGUUUGCGGCUGACACUGUGGGUACCUGCGCUCGAUAUCCGAAGAGGGUAGCUGGAAGGAUCAUAGUCGCCGUGUCGGUACCCUCGAUUCACCCCUCUGUCACAUGGGAGUUGGUGGAUGCCGUCGUGCGCGCAUCCGACGCUCUCCAUCGGGAAGGCCGAUGUCCCUUUCGGGCUCUCCUUCUUGGGACGGCGCGUCGGUGCUGCCUAGCUUUGCUCUCGGGUGCGGUGGUUAAGUUGGCUAUGGCAUCGGUCCCUGCGGCCGGUGUGAUCUCGGAGCUCUUAUGCGUGACCCUCGUGCUUGUCUAGGGGCUCUCGGAGCUUUGCCGCUUCGUGAACGUCUUGGGGAGGUAUCGAGGUGUACGGAGGAAUGU